Molecule: non-coding RNA, 892 nt
Filed under: Scorpaenodes evides (cheekspot scorpionfish)
Lineage: Eukaryota; Metazoa; Chordata; Actinopteri; Perciformes; Scorpaenidae
Description: partial 12S rRNA
Rfam family: Bacterial small subunit ribosomal RNA
Source: RNAcentral
ACCCCUGUGAGAACGCCCUACAGCUCCCCACCCGGGAGCAAGGAGCUGGUAUCAGGCACACACAGUUAGCCCACAACACCUUGCUCAGCCACACCCCCAAGGGAAUUCAGCAGUGAUAAACAUUAAGCCAUAAGUGAAAACUUGACUUAGUUAAGGCUAAGAGGGCCGGUAAAAUACUCGUGCCAGCCACCGCGGUUAAACGAGAGGCCCAAGUUGUUAUCCUCCGGCGUAAAGAGUGGUUAAGGACUAAUUUCUACUAAAGCCGCACACCUUCAAAGCUGUUAUACGCCCCCGAAGAGUAGAAGCCCAACCACGAAGGUAGCUUUAUUACCCCUGACCCCACGAGAGCUCUGGCACAAACUGGGAUUAGAUACCCCACUAUGCUUAGCCCUAAACAUUGGCAUUCAAACUACACACAUGCCCGCCCGGGUACUACGAGCACCAGCUCAAAACCCAAAGGACUUGGCGGUGCUUUAGAUCCCCCUAGAGGAGCCUGUUCUAGAACCGAUAACCCCCGUUCAACCUCACCCUCCCUGGCCCAUCCCGCUUAUAUACCGCCGUCGUCAGCUUACCCUGUGAAGGACUAAUAGUAAGCAUAAGUGGCACAGCCCAAAACGUCAGGUCGAGGUGUAGCGUAUGGGAGGGAAAGAAAUGGGCUACAUUCCCUAACGCAGGGAACACGAAUUAAGAAUUGAAACAUGAAUUAUGAAGGAGGAUUUAGUAGUAAGCAAAAAUAGCACAUUUAGCUGAAACCGGCCCUGAAGCGCGCACACACCGCCCGUCACUCUCCCCAGGCUUUAGCUACACGGUUAAUUUAAGCCUACUCCGCUAUACAUUUAGGGGAGGCAAGUCGUAACAUGGUAAGGGUACCGGAAGGUGCACUUGGGACAAC